RNAcentral lists this long non-coding RNA (1324 nucleotides) under Meleagris gallopavo (turkey). RNAcentral's name for it is "lncRNA (ENSMGAG00000022463.1)". Lineage: Eukaryota; Metazoa; Chordata; Aves; Galliformes; Phasianidae. The record is from RNAcentral.
CGCAAAAGAGAGUCUAAGGAGCUGUCACUUAGAAGGGAAAAAGGAUGGGUGGAAUUAGAAGCUCAGCAGAUUCUGAAUCUAAUCUUGAAGCUUGCUGACCCAGAACUAAAACAUGACCUGGAGAACAGAUUGUGUUUGAUUUCAGUGACUAAUCAAAGUUGUCAGCUAUACAGAUGUGAAGCUGACUGGAGAACUAAGUGCUUGCUAUGCAACACAGAUUGCAUAUUUGGAAAACAAGUCUAUAUCUACAUGGCUGUAUGGAUUGAGAACAGAUCCUUUGUAAUCCAUUUUUCUGAAUCUUUAAAGGAAAGAGUUAUCUUUUACUUCUUGGAUGAAAACAAAGGAUAUCAGAGACUCUGCUUAAAUGUUGGGUACUGCAGGCUUCAGCCGAGAGGUGGCGUUAAGAUGCAAUGCAAUGUUGUCUUAGCAAUAAAAUAUUAUCCGUUUUAACAGUAGUAUGACUGAUGCCUAGAGGUACACAAACCAGAGAUAACUGCAAUACAUGGAGAAAAACUAUUUUUGACUGUGAAGGAAGAAGUAAUCACUCAAAAGCACAGUACUCCAGUUGCGUUUGAAGGACACUGACUCCAUUUUCAUCCAAACACUUUAGUGAUUACUGCUACAUGUCACAGCAAAUCAGAGCUUGUACAAGUGCUCCAAACAAUGCUUCAGACAUGCAGGACUAGCUGCUGAUUGGAGUGAGGCCAAAUAAACUGUAUUCAAAAAGCAGCUCUAACUUUAAAAAAAAAAGUAGAAUAUUUAAAAGGGCACUGGAGAAGGCCUCUAAGCAACCCUGAUCAGAUUUUGCAGAGGCAUGAAACCGUAUCAUCUCCUACAAGGAUAUGGAGCAAGUGACAACUCAGCACUUCAGCACAAGGUAUAUACAGACCUUGAUCUCCUUGCAGAAUUACAGUUCUUAAUAUCUAUGAAAGUUCAACUCUGCAAAGAGAAGCUGACUGGAACGAUGAAGCAUUAUAAUAAGGAAAGAGUUUUUUUUUUAAAUAUUUAGAGAUUCCUGCUCUCAUAUGCUCUAAAGCUAACUUUUGAGAACUAUAAUUUCAGAUGGUAAAACAUAAGAAUUAGAAAUUUUAGCCACUGGAAAUUUUGACUGGCAUCUAUGCUGAGAAGACGUUUCCAGCUUAACUGAACUGUGCUAGAGACAUGCAAGACUGACCUGUGAAAAAAACCAAAAACAAAAAAAAUAAACCCAACUGAAAUCUGUUUUGGAACAAAGCACUUGGCUUCUUCUAUGCCAAGAACAUCUUCUGUGUAUUUUCUUUUGAGCUUUAAGAAUGUAAUAAACAACUGAAAAAACAUCUUUGAG